RNAcentral lists this ribosomal RNA (426 nucleotides) under uncultured bacterium. RNAcentral describes it as "bacterial SSU rRNA". It matches the Rfam family "Bacterial small subunit ribosomal RNA", at positions 495 to 919 of the family's 1533-position model. The record is from RNAcentral.
GGCUAACUAGGUGCCAGCAGCCCCGGUAAUACGUAGGGGGCGAGCGUUAUCCGGAAUUACUGGGCGUAAAGGACGCGUAGGUGGAUAUUUAAGUGGGAUGUGAAAUCCCCGGGCUCAACCCGGGAACUGCAUUCCAAACUGGAUUUCUGGAGUGCAGGAAAGGAAGGCGAAAUUCCUAGUGUAGGGGUGAAAUGCGUAAAUAUUAGGAGGAACACCAUUGGCAAAGGCGGCUUUCUGGACUGUAACUGACACUGAGGCAUGAAAGCUUGGGUAGCAAACAGGAUUAAAUACCCUGGUAGUCCACGCCGUAAACAAUGGGGACUAGCUGUAGGGGGUAUCAACUCCCCCUGUGCCGUCGUAAACACAAUAAGUACCCCGCCUGGGAAGUACGGUCGCAAAAUUAAAACUCAAAGGACUUGACGGAGA